UUGACCUCAGAUCAGGUAGGACUACCGCCUGAACUUAAGCAUAUCAAUAAGGCGAGGAACAGAAACCAACAGGGAUUCCCCUAGUAGUGGCGAAUGAAGCGGGAAAAGCUCAAGUUUGAAAUCCGGUGGGGUCAUCCCCUCCAGAGUUGUAAGCUGAAGAGGCGUCGACCGACGUUGUCCGGGCCCAAUUUCCUUGGAACAGGAGGUCAUGGAGGGUGAGAACCCCGUCUGUGGCUCGGAGCCAACGUCCUUGUGUCGUGUCCUCGAAGAGUCGGGUUGUUUGGGAAUGCAGCUCAAAAUGGGUGGUAAAUUCCAUCUAAGGCUAAAUAUUGGCGAGAGACCGAUAGGAAACAAGUAGAGUGAUCGAAAGAUGAAAAGUACUUUGAAAAGAGAGUGAAACAGUACGUGAAAUUGUUGAAAGGGAAGCGUUUGGCAUCAGCCCAUGGCGUCCGUCGAUCACUCGAGCUUCUGUUCGAUGCACUUGACGGACGUCGGGCCAGCGUCGGCUUUGCCUGCCGGAGAAAGGCCUCGGGAAUGUGGCACCCCUCGGGGUGUGUUAUAGCCCUUGGCGUCAUACGGUGUGGCGGGGCCGAGGUCCGCG
Molecule: ribosomal RNA, 601 nt
Filed under: uncultured fungus
Lineage: Eukaryota; Fungi
Description: eukaryotic LSU rRNA
Rfam family: Eukaryotic large subunit ribosomal RNA
Source: RNAcentral